GACGAACGCUGGCGGCAUGCCUAAUACAUGCAAGUCGAGCGAACAGCGAAAGGUGCUUGCACCUUUCAAGUGAGUGGCGAACGGGUGAGUAACACGUGGACAACCUGCCUCAAGGCUGGGGAUAACAUUUGGAAACAGAUGCUAAUACCGAAUAAAACUCAGUGUCGCAUGACACAAAGUUAAAAGGCGCUUUGGCGUCACCUAGAGAUGGAUCCGCGGUGCAUUAGUUAGUUGGUGGGGUAAAGGCCUACCAAGACAAUGAUGCAUAGCCGAGUUGAGAGACUGAUCGGCCAAAUUGGGACUGAGAAACGGCCCAAACUCGUACGGGAGGCUGCAGUAGGGAAUCUUCCACAAUGGGCGAAAGCCUGAUGGAGCAACGCCGCGUGUGUGAUGAAGGCUUUCGGGUCGUAAAGCACUGUUGUAUGGGAAGAACAGCUAGAAUAGGGAAUGAUUUUAGUUUGACGGUACCAUACCAGAAAGGGACGGCUAAAUACGUGCCAGCAGCCGCCGUAA
RNAcentral lists this ribosomal RNA (513 nucleotides) under uncultured bacterium. RNAcentral describes it as "partial 16S ribosomal RNA". It matches the Rfam family "Bacterial small subunit ribosomal RNA", at positions 28 to 523 of the family's 1533-position model. The record is from RNAcentral.